Molecule: transfer RNA, 67 nt
Filed under: Ictidomys tridecemlineatus (thirteen-lined ground squirrel)
Lineage: Eukaryota; Metazoa; Chordata; Mammalia; Rodentia; Sciuridae
Description: Spermophilus tridecemlineatus (thirteen-lined ground squirrel) tRNA
Rfam family: tRNA
About the family: Transfer RNA (tRNA) molecules are approximately 80 nucleotides in length. Their secondary structure includes four short double-helical elements and three loops (D, anti-codon, and T loops).
Source: Rfam by way of RNAcentral
GGUUGUGGCUCAGUGGUAGAGCACUUGCCUGGCAUGUAUGAGGCACUGGGUUUGAUCCUCAGCACCA